GUUGAGCACUAUAUAUAUAUAUAUAUCAGGGCUGCUGUGCUCUCAGGAGCACGGAGGCCUCCGUGUUCCUGAGCUGUUUUGGAUAAUGGAAUUUUCGAAUCGACGAUCAGCUCCAUUAGACUUGAUCUAGGGUAUUUGAAGUUUCUAAAAAAUAAUUUUUGCGAUUUUUUGAUAUCAUUUACCUAGUGAUCGAAAUGAUUCAAAAUCAAUAAUUUUUAAUGGUUGAUAUCUGUCGUUUUCAAGUUUAACGGUGUAGAAGUAUUCAAAUCAGAUAAAAUUUUGAUACAAAAUUCUUUAUACUAUCUACAACAAGAUUAAUAUUUCUGAUCGAAAAUUUUAGUGUUAUAUGACCACUUUUUAUAGAAUUUUUAUUUUCAGCCGUUAAAAAUUAUUGAUUUUGAAUCCUUUUGAUUGCUAGGUAAAUGAUAUCGAAAAAUUACAAAAAUUAUUUUUUAGAAACUUCAAAUGCGCUAGAUUAAGUCUAACAGAGCCGAUCGUCAAUUCAAAAUUUUCAUCAUCGAAAACGGCUCAGGAGCACGAAGGCCUCCGCCGUGCUCCUGAGAGCACAACAACCCUGCUCUCUCUCUCUCUCUCUCUCUCUCUAUAUAUAUAUAUAUAUAUUGGCCAAUUUGCAUAAAAAAUCCACUAAUUUUGGGCUUUUGCAAAAGUGGGCCACCUUUUUUAUUUUUGCAGAUUCGGUCCAAAUUUUCAGCAAACUGACCAAAAUAUCCUUAUUACUUUUUCUCUUUCCUCUUUCUCUCUCCUAUUCUUUUCUCUCGUUCAUUUUUUUUUUCUCUCACCAAAGAGGCAGCGGGCACAUAGACGGAAGCGAAAACGGCCCGUCUUGCCUCUUACCCUCAUGCUCUCGCCCUCGCCCUCGCCCUCGCCCUCACCCCCGCACCGCCCACCUUCCUCUCCUCCGACCCCACUAAGGCCGUGCUGCGACUUUUUUUUUUUUCCUCUCCUACUCUCAUCCACCGUCUCCGACGACGACGCCUCUCGCGCCCUUCCCCGCCCUUCUCGUCCUCUCCCUCUCCCUCCUCCUCUGCCGCCUUCGACGAUCUUCGCUGACGCCGACACCGUGGAGGUCGCUGCGGCGCUGCAGCCUCG
This 1110-nucleotide long non-coding RNA is filed under the name Ananas comosus (pineapple). Its description in RNAcentral is "long non-coding RNA (ACOM_LNC029846)". Lineage: Eukaryota; Viridiplantae; Streptophyta; Magnoliopsida; Poales; Bromeliaceae. The record is from RNAcentral.